Molecule: non-coding RNA, 113 nt
Organism: Acanthosepion pharaonis
Lineage: Eukaryota; Metazoa; Mollusca; Cephalopoda; Sepiida; Sepiidae
Source: the annotation of a GenBank genome assembly
ACAGUCAAAUCAUGCUGAAAACAUCAAUUCUCAUGUGAUCACUGAAACUAAGCAGUAUCAAGCCUGGUCAGAACUUAGAUGGGUGACCAUUUGGGAGUACUGGGUACUGUAAG